AGUCGAACGAAUCCCGGUAGCAAUACCGGGGGAAGUGGCGAAAGGGGCAGUAAGGCAUGGCUAACCUACCCCGGGGACGGGGAUAGCCUUCCUAACGGAAGGGUAAUACCCGGCGAUGUGGCGAGAGGACAUCCUCUUGCCAUGAAACGAAUUUCGCCUCGGGAGGGGGUCAUGUGCUAUUAGCUUGUUGGUAGGGUAACGGCCUACCAAGGCAAAGAUGGCUAGCGGGUGUGAGAGCACGACCCGCGCCACUGGCACUGCGACACUGGCCAGACUCCUACGGGAGGCUGCAGUCGAGGAUCUUCGGCAAUGGGCGCAAGCCUGACCGAGCGACGCCGCGUGUGCGAUGAAGGCCUUCGGGUUGUAAAGCACUGUCGAGGGGGAGGAAGACCCGCAAGGGUUUGACCUAUCCCUGGAGGAAGCACGGGCUAAGUUCGUGCCAGCAGCCGCGGUAAGACGAACCGUGCGAACGUUGUUCGGAUUCACUGGGCUUAAAGGGCGCGUAGGCGGCUUGCCAAGUCAGGGGUGAAAUCUUUCGGCUUAACCGGAAAAGUGCUUCUGAUACUGGCAGGCUGGAGGGAGGUAGGGGCAGAUGGAACUUCCGGUGGAGCGGUGAAAUGCGUAGAUAUCGGAAGGAACGCCGGUGGCGAAAGCGAUCUGCUGGACCUCUUCUGACGCUGAGGCGCGAAAGCCAGGGGAGCAAACGGGAUUAGAUACCCCGGUAGUCCUGGCCCUAAACGAUGGGUACUAGGUUGUGGACUUGACAUGGGUUCACAGCCGAAGCAAAAUGAUAAGUACCCCGCCUGGGGAGUAUGGUC
Molecule: ribosomal RNA, 818 nt
Filed under: uncultured Planctomycetota bacterium
Lineage: Bacteria; Pseudomonadati; Planctomycetota
Description: bacterial SSU rRNA
Rfam family: Bacterial small subunit ribosomal RNA
Source: RNAcentral